RNAcentral lists this transfer RNA (71 nucleotides) under Lachnospiraceae bacterium. RNAcentral describes it as "tRNA-Gly". It matches the Rfam family "tRNA". Rfam says of the family: Transfer RNA (tRNA) molecules are approximately 80 nucleotides in length. Their secondary structure includes four short double-helical elements and three loops (D, anti-codon, and T loops). Lineage: Bacteria; Bacillati; Bacillota; Clostridia; Lachnospirales; Lachnospiraceae. The record is from RNAcentral.
GCGCGAUUGGUGUAAUGGUAACAUCAUGCCCUUCCAAGGCAUUGUAGCGGGUUCGAGUCUCGUAUCGCGCU